AUUCUUGCACAGUGGCAAUAUCGUAAGCAAUGAAGGUCUCUUGAGGUGUGAUUAUUGUUAGUUGAAAACUUUUACCAAUAAGGCGCCACGGUACCCGAGCGGUUAAGAGGCGAGACCUGUAAAGAUAAUGUGCGUUGUGGUACUGGGUUCGAUUCCCGGUCUUUAGGCCUUGGAUUUUAUU
This 181-nucleotide small nuclear RNA is filed under the name Rhodnius prolixus. RNAcentral's name for it is "U4 spliceosomal RNA". The stretch from base 1 to 126 matches the Rfam family "U4 spliceosomal RNA". From Rfam's summary of the family: U4 small nuclear RNA (U4 snRNA) is a component of the major U2-dependent spliceosome. The structure of U4 snRNA from yeast and human has been reported. Lineage: Eukaryota; Metazoa; Arthropoda; Insecta; Hemiptera; Reduviidae. The record is from RNAcentral.